UAAAAGGUUUUUUUAAAAGCCAUGCCACUCUUUCUUUGAAGAUUCAU
Non-coding RNA from Ailuropoda melanoleuca (giant panda), 47 nucleotides. The record is from Rfam. Lineage: Eukaryota; Metazoa; Chordata; Mammalia; Carnivora; Ursidae.